This 6000-nucleotide unclassified non-coding RNA is filed under the name Anthonomus grandis grandis. RNAcentral's name for it is "uncharacterized LOC126737727". The record is from RNAcentral. Lineage: Eukaryota; Metazoa; Arthropoda; Insecta; Coleoptera; Curculionidae.
CGUCGCGACGCGCUGCGAACUGUUGCGUCCUCGAUUAUCCCUUUAAAAUUGCGGGCAAGGUCGUGCUACAUCUUUACAUCAAUACUCUCAGAUUUUUUAUUUAAAUCACUCAAACCCAUUGUUACCCCCAUUGUGCUCAGAACUAUCCAACGAUUUUCGCUUUAAGACGUGCCGCCUAUCUGGAUUAAAAAAAAAAUAAUGUAAAUCAACUACGAAAAUAGACCGUUACGAAUAAAGCGAAAAUCGGAGGAACAUUUCGGGCAUUAACUUAACGCUCGGAAUGCGUGUAUCCAGCGUUCUCCCACCGACUUAACAGGAAUAUGAAGAUUGAAUUUAUUUCUGCCCGGUCGAGUUAUACCCCUGGAUAAAACCCUAAAAACGGAAAUCAAGUGAGUUUGGGAUCGUUCGUCAAAGUUCGUCAAUUUUUUACAGUUGGAGGGGAUGAUGGUGGCCUACUUUGAAAGAGGAAGGCGAGCGGAAUCAGUAGGUUUAUUCAUCAUGUAUUUGUUAUGAGAGGUGAAGGAACCGCGUAAUGGCCGGGGAGCCAAAUGGCUCAACAGAAGAAAGUAAUGUCACUAUUAGUAGCACAACACCUCUACCACCGUACCCCACAGUCGACCCAAAGGAAUAUUAUAAGACUUACGAUGUUAUGACUGGAGUACGAAUAGCUGCCACCUUGGGCAGUUUUUUCGGCCUAAUGGUCCUUCUUGUUUUAUACAAAUCAAAAUCAAAGACUGAAAAAGCACUAGAAGAUCCUAAUUUUACAGCAGCAGCGGUAGCCGAAGCCGAAGAAGAAGAACGGCAAAUUCAAUUAGCCUUAGAAGCGACCGCCUUAGAAGAGCUCAAUCCCGGUGUCAGCCGAUUAAGUAGGAAAUCACUGGAUAGUUCUCAUGGCAGAAGAGCCUCAAGGAGGUUUUCUUUAGCUGAAGGUCACAGCAGUUUGUACGAACCAUCUACAAAACUCACGUCGAGAUUGCCUAGUUUUGUCGAUGAAGACUCAUCGCCGGACGACGCGGCCUCCUUGUACGACGAUAUAUAUUAUAAUAGUAAACUAUUAGAUCCACGUCGUCCAAGCAACAUAACCUGCUCGUCGUCCGGCAGCUCGUAUUUGGAGCGACGUGAUUCCGCCGUGACGUUGGGUUUUUCAGUGCUGCCACCGCACAAGUACAACAAGUCCUCAAGACGACAAUCCUCUCCAGUUCCAGAAAUGUACGAUUUAUAUUAUCCUAUUGAUAUACACGUAACCCAUCCCACCCCGGGAGGAUCGCCCUGCGGCAGCGACCGCGCCCUCUAUCAGGCAGUGGGAGAACCGCCGAAUUUAAAGCCCAGAUUGGCGCCUUUAGCUUCCAUUAGUAGUUGUAAUAGUUCUCUAGGUACAGAUUAUUUUGAAGAUUAUGAUGCUAUCUCUUACGCCUGCGAUACGUAUCCAGACGAGGAGGAAAAUACGGAGAACGGAGUAGAUCCGUUCGACACCGAUAGUGACGUUAAUAGUGAGGACGGUGCAUGUUACGAUAAAAGAACUAAAGUGUGUGUUGUGUCCAAUGAUUCAUCAUCGACAAUCAGUAACGGUGGUAGUAGGUAUUCUACGGAGCAUCCCCAUCCAUGUAACAGUAAAACCGACCUAAGCAGAGAGUCGAGGUCUUCCUCGACACUAUUUGAAUGUUGUCAACUUCCUCAGAUUACCUUUGCCGAAGUUCAUAGGUUAGCAUCGUCGACAACUGAAAUCGAUCGGAAAAACUCUUGGACGCAAGAGACUUUAUUUUAAAAACCAAAUAAACCGUAGAAUUUGUUGAUAAUUCCCAAAAUCUACAUUUAUUUCAUAUCCAGACUUUUAAGCUUUUGUUCAAUGUUGGCAGAAAAUGUAAACUUGUAGUUUAUAUUAUUUACCAACGAUAUGAAAUCUGUAUAAAAAAACUAAUAUAAUGGCUCAAUGGAAUUUACGAUAUUUCACCUAUGGGCUGUGAUUAUAAGGAAUAAGUUGGCAUUACUGUUAGUAAGCACUAACUCAUUUCAUUCUACCUGUACAGGGUGUGCCAAACUCUAAUACUCUACUAAUCUUAGAAAUUAUUAUCUGUGUUUUUUCGAUAGAUCUGUUAGUUAUUAACUAUUAUAUAAACUUAACAUUUGACCAUUGAACUCUAUAUAGGAAUCAAAAAGGAAUAUGCGGACUCUUGUCUUUUAAGAGCUCUCAAUAAUUUUUAUUCUUAAACCCUUACUUCUUUAAUAAUUGAGGGAUGUGUUAUUUUCUUUAUUAAGGGGCCAUAAGUUUUGACAAUCGAUUGAUUAUAUAAUGUGAACCAUCAAAAGGAAUAAUUAGUAUUGUAUAUCUAUCUAUGUAAUUAAACGGUUUUAACGUAAAUAAUUAGUUGUCGAAUUUAUAUAAUUAAAUUCACUUUUGGACAGUAUAAGCUUGAAUACGAAUUUUAGCAUAUUUUAAUUAUUUUUAUGUAUUUCGAUUGUGGUUUGCAAAAUUGGCAUUUAAUAAAUAAAAAAAUUAUUAAAUUUCAGUAAAUUUUGUGAAUUUUUAAAAGCUCAUGCAAAUUUGAAAAGAAAUGGAGUAUGAUGAAAAUAAAAAUAAUAAAGAAUUUAGAGCUUUUAGAACUGGCGGCUAUUUAAACUUAUCAAUAUGUAGGGCGUUUCAACAACAAUCUCUAUUGUUUUUGAAACAAUUUCUGUAAUAGGCGUCGCAAUAUGUAAAUGAAUUUUUUAAACUAAUAAUGAGUAAGUCCACAGCAACGUUUCAUUAUUGAUUUGUAUAGUAUAUAUGGACAUUAUUGUACUAAAGCGCUUUACAGGAAUAAAAACAAAGCAAGUUAAACAGUAGAAGAAGUAAAACGUGUCGGCAGGUACACGUUUUUUCACUGUUUAAAACAAAAGAAAAGAGAUCACAAAACCAAAACCAAUUUAUGUAAUCAGCUCUGGUACUUCUGGUUUUGAAGGAAAAAACCGCAUCCAUACUAUGGAAGCAUAAACUACUAACCUCUGUAUAGUCUGAAACAAAGGACGCUAGUACAGAGAGUUAAAUGGUAAACGGAUAGAUUCAUUGGGAUACGCCGUAAGACGGGAAGCAAAAGAAGUAAAGGUAGUACCUGUCGACACGUGUUUCUACUUUUUGGCUUCUUCAGGGCGAGGAACCAGAAAAACAAGAGAAAGAGAGAGGAAAAGACACAAGGGUAGUCGUGUCAAAAAUUUUCUCCAAAAGCAGAGAUGCUAGAGCUAAUUACGUAAAUUCGUUGUUCGCGCCUGUUGGUAAUCUCUAAUGUUUGUUUCAGCCUUUUCUCUUUAAUUUUCUGGUUGCUCUGCCCUGAAGAAGCCAAAAGGUAGAAACAUGUCGUCAGAUACCAACUUCAAUUCUUCUGCUUCCCGUCUUACUUUGUAUCCUGAUAAAUCUAUCCUUCUAAUAUUUAACUCUCCGUGCUAGCUUUCUUUCUUUGAUUAUAUUACAAGAGUCUAAAAAAAUAUUGCAAUGCAUGCAGAAAAGUAAAGCUUCUUACAAAAUACAUUAAAGAAGACCCUAAAAACGUUGGUUCUCUAACAAUAUUAUCAAGGUUAUUAAAUAUAACAGCUAGUUAAUUUGAGUUUCCUACUAUUUAUUAAUGGUCUAAGGACCAAUGUUACUGGCCAAGAUCGAAUCAAUGUAAAAACUAAGCUUGUCAACUUUUCCAACCUUUGUAAUUAAUGAGUGUUUAUUUCUUUCUUUCCAGAAGUCAGCUAAUAUCUUUUAUGCCAAAAAAGCCUCCUCCAACAUAACUUUCAGAUUUUAGGCCAAUUAGUAUUCUUCUCUAAGGCUUCAAGUUUCUUGAAAAGGUAGUAUGUGAUCAGCUUUCGAUUUUUUAUAAUGAAAAUGAUAUACUUCCUCCACACAGUCUUGUUUUCGUCCUCAUCACAGUACAACUGCUCUUCUCAAUAUUACUAAAGAUUUUUUAUCAACUUGAGAUGUAGGUAAGUCUUACUUACUUUUGAUAUCAUAUACCACUGGGUCCUUAAAAGAAAUAAAUAAAAGGUGUUGUCGAAUUUCACCCACAGGGAGUUCUUCUUGGUAAUGCUAUCUAGAUCUGAUAAAGACGAUGGAGUACUUAAGACUACUAAAAAUAUUUAUUUUCACUAUUUAUGUCCGAUUUAAAUAUCGCGCCAAUAAAUCGAACUUCAUUGAACUGACUCCCAGCGGCGACGGAGCUCCUUUAAUAUUCGACUGACCAUGUUUCCGGAAGAUGAUCGUCGCUGACCUUCCAGAGACGUCGUGUGGUGUGCCACUUCUCUCAUUCCGGAAUGAUGGAGAACAGCUGAUAUUCUCAGUAUUCCCAAUAUCCUUACAAUAUGAAUCUGUUAAGUUGUUUCUCCAUUUUCAUGCACAUGUCGUAUUCUGGCCUCUGGUCAAAAAAGAUUUUUUACAAAAAUUUCUUGUUUAAUGUUUUCGCUCUUGUUCAAUGGCUAAUUUGGAAUUAAAAGACAUAUUGUACCAUUGGCAAAUCGUACUAUGAAUUUCAAGCCCUACAAGUACCCAAUAAUUUGUCUGAAUAAGUGGUGAAGUAGACACCCCUGUCUUGUUUCAAAGAACAUUUUCAUAUAGGUAGCUUCAAUCCACUGAUUAAACAAAAAGUAUUUAGCAAAUUCAUCAUAUUUUCUACCUUAUAUUAUUAUUGUAAAAUUUGGAUUAUUUUUACUGAAAUUGAUCUAUAAACCUUUAAUUAAGUUCUAUUAAACACGUUUUAUUUUUUGCUUACUUCCGAGAAUGCGAUAAACGGCGAAAGCUUUUGAAUGAAAAACAUUAAAUAAACAAAAUGUAAUGGUCGACAUUUACAUUGUAUAUUGAUGGAUUUGCAUAGACCAAUAAACUAUAGUGUAAAGGCAAUCGGACAUAACUGCAAUCAAAAUGCUAUAAAACCUUAAAUAAAUAUUUCUUGAUCAAAUAAAAUGAAUUGUUAUAGUAGUAUAAAAAGAAGAAACAUUUUCUGUUAUAGUCUGUGCGAGUAAAUUCACUUUUUUGAAUGGUUUAUUCCAAAACAUGCGGUUUUGUUUAUUAUUGCUAAAGUUGUGAGAAUCUAAAACAAUAAUCGAAUUUUUAACAUGAUGUAAAGUAACUAUUUAAUUGAUGAGGUCAUUACUAAGCUUUCAGCAGAGUUAAAUGCGAUGUAUCAGGUUUGUAGUAAAAAAUCACGUGGGAAAGUAAAAAUAUUUUUUUUAGUAAGUAAAUAAGCCAGAAUGAGAUUUUCCAGAUAUUAUCCGCAUAUAAUAGACUGAAUUUACUGAUGUCCGUCUGCACCGUACAGCAGAAAUUAGCCAUAGCAAAGGAUUUGUAUAUUAACAAUGUUGAAAACAGGUUGAAAGAAAGAGGUGGAAAAUUGUCAGAAGCUACAACAGAUAUAAAAAAGCCGCUUCUUUUCAGUAUUACAAGGGACUACCAAUACCACAGUUUACUAUUGAUUUUGUCGAAUGCCUUGACAAAAUCAGUAUGUAAACACAGUCAUUCUCAGAAUUAGUAAUAACUGAUGAAGUGCUAAAAAGUCCAUUAAGUUAUUGUGUAAAUAAAUAUUCUUUAAUGUAACAAACCAACAUUUAGUCAAAGUGUAUUUUGUAUUGUGAUUCUGUAAGUGACACAUUUGAUAAAUAAGUCGAUAGAUAGUGAUAUGAGUUUAUAUAUUGGCCUGGUUCAUGUAAAUUGAUAUGAAAAAUGCAUUUUGGAAAUUAACCAUCAAAGAAAUUGUCUUAUUAGUCAUAUUUUUUUAAGCUGCAUAUCAAACCAGAUUGGAAAUCUUAACUUCCUAGGUAUCUCAUAUAUAAUAUUUGCAGUAUACUAGAUGAAAUUAUAAAAGUAUGCUAUGGCGGUUAACAAUUUAUAAAACCAAUGAAAGAUGUCAUAAAAUCAAAAAAAUUACAAAAUGUUUCUAAAUAUCAAAAUAUUUCCGAUAAUUUAAAAUCUUUAAAUCACUUCUAAAUCGAAAAUUUAUUUUAAAUGAUAAAAUGAUAAAUUAAAAAAAAACACACACAAAUCAAACAAAA